RNAcentral lists this ribosomal RNA (781 nucleotides) under Chryseobacterium sp. RNAcentral describes it as "bacterial SSU rRNA". It matches the Rfam family "Bacterial small subunit ribosomal RNA", at positions 43 to 824 of the family's 1533-position model. Lineage: Bacteria; Pseudomonadati; Bacteroidota; Flavobacteriia; Flavobacteriales; Weeksellaceae. The record is from RNAcentral.
GAGGCCUAACACAUGCAAGCCGAGCGGUAGAGAUUCUUCGGAAUCUUGAGAGCGGCGUACGGGUGCGGAACACGUGUGCAACCUGCCUUUAUCUGGGGGAUAGCCUUUCGAAAGGAAGAUUAAUACCCCAUAACAUAUUGAGUGGCAUCACUUAAUAUUGAAAACUCCGGUGGAUAGAGAUGGGCACGCGCAAGAUUAGAUAGUUGGUGAGGUAACGGCUCACCAAGUCAGUGAUCUUUAGGGGGCCUGAGAGGGUGAUCCCCCACACUGGUACUGAGACACGGACCAGACUCCUACGGGAGGCAGCAGUGAGGAAUAUUGGACAAUGGGUGAGAGCCUGAUCCAGCCAUCCCGCGUGAAGGACGACGGCCCUAUGGGUUGUAAACUUCUUUUGUAUAGGGAUAAACCUUUCCACGUGUGGAAAGCUGAAGGUACUAUACGAAUAAGCACCGGCUAACUCCGUGCCAGCAGCCGCGGUAAUACGGAGGGUGCAAGCGUUAUCCGGAUUUAUUGGGUUUAAAGGGUCCGUAGGCGGGCUCGUAAGUCAGUGGUGAAAUCUCAUAGCUUAACUAUGAAACUGCCAUUGAUACUGCGAGCCUUGAGUAAGGUAGAGGUAGCUGGAAUAAGUAGUGUAGCGGUGAAAUGCAUAGAUAUUACUUAGAACACCAAUUGCGAAGGCAGGUUACCAUGUCUUAACUGACGCUGAUGGACGAAAGCGUGGGGAGCGAACAGGAUUAGAUACCCUGGUAGUCCACGCCGUAAACGAUGCUAACUCGUUUUU